AUAAGUGCAUGUGGUGGAUGCCUAGGCGAUUACAGGCGAUGAAGGACGUAGUAGCUUGCGAUAAGCAUGGGGGAGUCGGCAAACAGACAUUGAUCCCAUGAUUUCCGAAUGGGGAAACCCGACCAGCAAUGGUCACUCAGAAAUGAGAGCGAACGCGGAGAACUGAAACAUCUAAGUACCCGUAGGAAAAGAAAUCAACCGAGAUUCCGAAAGUAGUGGCGAGCGAAAUCGGAGGAGCCAUGUAGUGUUAUAGUGACGAGAGAGUAGAACAAGCUGGGAAGCUUGACCGUAGAGGGUGAUAGUCCCGUAUACGAAUUCCGACAUUAAGAACUAAGCUACAAAGAAGUAGGGCGGGACACGUGGAAUCCUGUCUGAACAUGGGGGGACCAUCCUCCAAGGCUAAAUACUCGUAAUCGACCGAUAGUGAACCAGUACCGUGAGGGAAAGGCGAAAAGAACCCCGGGAGGGGAGUGAAAUAGAACCUGAAACUGCAUGCAUACAAACAGUGGGAGCGGACUAGUUCCGUGACUGCGUACCUUUUGUAUAAUGGGUCAGCGACUUACAUUCUGUAGCGAGCUUAACCGAAUAGGGGAGGCGAAGGGAAACCGAGUCUGAAUAGGGCGAUAGUUGCAGGGUGUAGACCCGAAACCGGGUGAGCUAUCCAUGGCCAGGAUGAAGGUGCAGUAACAUGCACUGGAGGUCCGAACCGACUAAUGUUGCAAAAUUAGCGGAUGAGCUGUGGAUAGGGGUGAAAGGCUAAACAAACCCGGAGAUAGCUGGUUCUCCUCGAAAACUAUUUAGGUAGUGCCUCGUGGUUGAUACUUCUUGGGGUAGAGCACUGUUAUGGCUAGGGGGUUAUUGCAACUUACCAACCCAUGGCAAACUCCGAAUACGAGAAAGUAAUACACGGGAGACAGACAUCUGGUGCUAACGUCAGGUGUCAAAAGGGAAACAACCCAGACCGCCAGCUAAGGUCCCAAAUGAUCAAUUAAGUGGUAAACGAUGUGGGAAGGCAUAGACAGCUAGGAUGUUGGCUUAGAAGCAGCCAUCAUUUAAAGAAAGCGUAAUAGCUCACUAGUCAAGUCGUCCUGCGCGGAAGAUGUAACGGGGCUAAAUUGAUAACCGAAGCUGCGGAUAGAACUUAUGUUCUAUGGUAGAGGAGCGUUCUGUAGGCCAAUGAAGGUGACUUGAGAAGGUUGCUGGAGGUAUCAGAAGUGCGAAUGCUGACAUGAGUAGCGUUAAAGCGGGUGAAAAGCCCGCUCGCCGAAAGUCCAAGGUUUCCUACGCAACGUUAAUCGGCGUAGGGUGAGUCGGCCCCUAAGGUGAGGCAGAGAUGCGUAGCCGAUGGGAAACAGGUUAAUAUUCCUGUACCGAUGUAUAGUGCGAUGUGGGGACGGAGAAAGUUAGGUCAGCCAACUGUUGGAAUAGUUGGUUUAAGCGUGCAGGUGUGAGAAUUAGGCAAAUCCGGUUCUCUUUAACACUGAGGCGUGAUGACGAUGAUCUACGGAUCAGAAGUGAUUGAUACUACACUUCCAGGAAAAGCCACUAAGCUUCAGCUAUAUAUUGACCGUACCGCAAACCGACACUGGUGGACGAGAUGAGUAUUCUAAGGCGCUUGAGAGAACUCUGGAGAAGGAACUCGGCAAAUUAGCACCGUAACUUCGGGAGAAGGUGCGCCCCGACGAUGUGUAGACCCUCGCGGUCGAAGCAGUAAGGGGUUGCAGUGAAAAGGUGGCUGCGACUGUUUAUUAAAAACACAGCACUCUGCAAACACGAAAGUGGACGUAUAGGGUGUGACGCCUGCCCG
RNAcentral lists this ribosomal RNA (1807 nucleotides) under wastewater metagenome. Its description in RNAcentral is "bacterial LSU rRNA". It matches the Rfam family "Bacterial large subunit ribosomal RNA", at positions 12 to 1865 of the family's 2925-position model. The record is from RNAcentral.